GCCUUCGGGUUGUAAACCUCUUUUAGUAGGGAAGAAGCGAAAGUGACGGUACCUGCAGAAAAAGCACCGGCUAACUACGUGCCAGCAGCCGCGGUAAUACGUAGGGUGCGAGCGUUGUCCGGAAUUAUUGGGCGUAAAGAGCUCGUAGGCGGUCUGUCACGUCUGCUGUGAAAACCCGAGGCUCAACCUCGGGCCUGCAGUGGGUACGGGCAGACUAGAGUGCGGUAGGGGAGAACGGAAUUCCUGGUGUAGCGGUGGAAUGCGCAGAUAUCAGGAGGAACACCGAUGGCGAAGGCAGUUCUCUGGGCCGUAACUGACGCUGAGGAGCGAAAGCGUGGGGAGCGAACAGGAUUAGAUACCCUGGUAGUCC
Molecule: ribosomal RNA, 370 nt
Filed under: uncultured bacterium
Lineage: Bacteria
Description: bacterial SSU rRNA
Rfam family: Bacterial small subunit ribosomal RNA
Source: RNAcentral